Molecule: ribosomal RNA, 379 nt
Filed under: uncultured bacterium
Lineage: Bacteria
Description: bacterial SSU rRNA
Rfam family: Bacterial small subunit ribosomal RNA
Source: RNAcentral
ACUUUCAGUAGUGAGGAAAGGUGUAUAGUUAAUAGCAUUACACUGUGACGUUAGCUACAGAAAGAAGCACCGGCAAACUCCGUGCCAGCAGCCGCGGUAAUACGGAGGGUGCGAGCGUUAAUCGGAAUUACUGGGCGUAAAGCGCGCGUAGGCGGUUAUUUAAGUGAGGUGUGAAAUCCCCUGGGCUCAACCUAGGAACUGCAUUUCAAACUGGAUAACUUGAGUAUGUCAGAGGGUAUUGGAAUUUCCCCGUGUAGCAGUGAAAAUGCGUAGAUAUGGGAAGGAACAUCAGUGGCGAAGGCGAAUACCUGGGAUAAUACUGACGGUCCUGAGGUGCGAAAAGCGUCGGGGAGCAAACGGGAUUAGACUACCCUGGUAG